This 30-nucleotide non-coding RNA is filed under the name Mus musculus (house mouse). Lineage: Eukaryota; Metazoa; Chordata; Mammalia; Rodentia; Muridae. The record is from RNAcentral.
UGACAUCUGCUAGAACACUGUCCCCAUGUU